AAAAUCCGUCGACUUUAGAAAUCGUGAGGC
RNAcentral lists this transfer RNA (30 nucleotides) under Cedrelinga cateniformis. RNAcentral describes it as "partial tRNA-Leu". The record is from RNAcentral. Lineage: Eukaryota; Viridiplantae; Streptophyta; Magnoliopsida; Fabales; Fabaceae.